RNAcentral lists this ribosomal RNA (433 nucleotides) under uncultured bacterium. Its description in RNAcentral is "partial 16S ribosomal RNA". It matches the Rfam family "Bacterial small subunit ribosomal RNA", at positions 29 to 507 of the family's 1533-position model. The record is from RNAcentral.
AACGAACGCUGGCGGCAUGCCUAACACAUGCAAGUCGAACGGGACCUUCGGGUCUAGUGGCGCACGUGUGCGUAACGCCUGGGAACCUGCACUUAGGUUCGCAAUACCUCACCGUAAGGGGUGCUAAUACCGGUUAAUCUAUUCGCACCAAAGAUUUAUCGCCUUUGGAUGGGGCCGCGUUGGAUUCGCUAGUUGGUAGGGUACAAGCAUACCAAGGCGUCGAUCCAUAGCUGGUCUGUGAGGAUGAUCAGCUACACUGGGACUGAGACACGGCCCAGACUCCUACGCAGGGGAGCAGUAGGGAGUAUUGUACGAGGGGCGAUAGCCUGAUACAGCAGUGCCGCGUGUGUGAUGAAGGCCUUAGGGUUGUAAAGCUCUUUUAGACGGGGCGAGAAUGACAGUACCGGGAGAAUAAGCACCGGCUAACUCCGUG